UACGGAGGGUGCAAGCGUUAUCCGGAUUUACUGGGUUUAAAGGGUGCGUAGGUGGGUCUGUAAGUCAGUGGUGAAAUCUCCGAGCUUAACUCGGAAACUGCCAUUGAUACUAUAGAUCUUGAAUUAUCUGGAGGUAAGCGGAAUAUGUCAUGUAGCGGUGAAAUGCUUAGAUAUGACAUAGAACACCAAUUGCGAAGGCAGCUUACUACACAAUCAUUGACGCUGAGGCACGAAAGCGUGGGGAUCAAACAGG
This 253-nucleotide ribosomal RNA is filed under the name uncultured bacterium. RNAcentral describes it as "partial 16S ribosomal RNA". It matches the Rfam family "Bacterial small subunit ribosomal RNA", at positions 524 to 776 of the family's 1533-position model. The record is from RNAcentral.